RNAcentral lists this long non-coding RNA (1359 nucleotides) under Anolis carolinensis (green anole). RNAcentral's name for it is "lncRNA (ENSACAG00000030666.2)". The record is from RNAcentral. Lineage: Eukaryota; Metazoa; Chordata; Lepidosauria; Squamata; Anolidae.
CAGGGAUUCUUGUUGCUUCUGUAAGUUUACAUUAGCCUCUUCCAGUUUCACCAUCUUCUGCUGUAGUUUCUCUCGUGUCUUAGCUGUUGCUGUCUUGUCCUUCCUGAUGGAGCUUAGUUCCUCUUGGAUUUGAGAGACUUCCCUUUUCACUGUUAUAAUUUCUUCUUUCACUUCAUUCCUUAGUUUACCUAUUUCAUCCUGAAAAACCUUUUUGAGGUUCUCCUGCAUCAUUUCUUGACCCUCCUGCAUUUUCUGCAAUUGUUGCAUUAGGUCUUUUAAGGAGGGUUCGCUUGGCAUUGAGUGCCUCCUGGCCAUUGUCCCAAUUGCAUUAGUGGCAUUCGAUUUACUUGCUUUAGGGGUUGUGAAUUUUUCCAUUUAUUAAUCUAAAGAGUGUCCUCCACUAAUCUUAGGGAAUAAAUCAAUUUAUCUUAAAUUGGAUAAUUGAGCUUAUUCGAUGUAUGUCCUGAUCUGGAAGAGGUGAGGUUGAUAGGACAAGAUCUUGUCUUGCUGUCGCUGUGGAUUCUCUAAGUCCUCUGAUCUUGUUUAAUUAAGUCAGUUAAAUGUAAGCUUCCCAAGCUUAUCCCAACAGAUUGUUUAUUUGCCCAAUCAUUCUAUUACUGUCCUUGAUUAGGGGGUUCAGCUUGGGAUCUCUUACCUUCUCUCACCAGUCUGAGUUAAGUAUUCUAUUCAGAAAUUGAGAGGCAAAACAAGUGUAGAACCAAAUAGAAAUGCUUAGAGUAGCUGUUCCUCCAGUGCCCUUCUUCCUCCCUUACUUGCUUGCUUCACCGCUUACUUCACUGUUUCUCUGCGUCCCGGCGCUUGUGUGUUACGUUUUGGGAAGAACGUCACUCCAGCUUCCUUAAUCACCCCUCUGAUCUUCUCACUUAAAGGGCCCGCAGGCUCUGAACCAUCACAUGAGCAAGUGCAGUCCCCAACCACUCUACAUUCUCCUCUUUUUAAACCACAGAAAACUUCAAUAUUGAAAGCCAAGUAUAAAGAAGACAGAAUUACAUGUCCUCUAUACACAAGAACAGAUGUAACUCAAAGCCAAGACUCAUCGUUUGCAUGGAGAUAGUCCCAGUUUCAGUCCCCAGUAUCUCCAACUAAAGGCUGGAAUUCUGAAGAUUUGUCGCUUCGAUUUCUGCUGGUGAUCAGAUGAAUAUGUUUGAUGCUACUCUUGAGAUACUUAAGACUAGGCAUUUUAUACAAAUGGAAUUCUGUUUACAUGGUAGGAUACAGCUACGUUUGAUGCCAUUUCUAAUAAAUGAAUAAAAUGGGGCAGCAUUCUAUAACUCAUGAAAAGCCACACUGUGUGAAGAGCUUCCAUAGAUACAGGAUGUCCUUCUUUUCAGAAAGGUA